UUAAGUUGCUAUGCUUAAAGUCGAGCAAGCGGAAGUCAUGAUAACCACUAAGGCUUCGUUUGGAAUUGCGGAGAGAUUGCGAUACGUGUGGUGAGAAAAUAUGUUAGAAAAAUAUCUUAUUUGUUUCCGUACGUAAUAUUAUAUUUCGCAUAUCGCGAUGAGUCGAUUACGACAUAUUUUUCUGCGGUUCCACCGGAGAACGCAGAAGCAUAUCUCUAUAUACUUUUUCCUCAACUCCAUUUUAUCUAAUAGCGUUAGAUAGAUCUCAAUACCAAACUAAGCCUAAGAGUACAAGACCUCAGCUUCAUGUCAAGUUACCCCUAAAUCCGUACGCGCGGAUU
This 341-nucleotide long non-coding RNA is filed under the name Ananas comosus (pineapple). RNAcentral describes it as "long non-coding RNA (ACOM_LNC039274)". Lineage: Eukaryota; Viridiplantae; Streptophyta; Magnoliopsida; Poales; Bromeliaceae. The record is from RNAcentral.